AACGAACGCUGGCGGCAGGCUUAACACAUGCAAGUCGAACGCAUGCCUUCGGGCAUGAGUGGCAGACGGGUGCGUAACGCGUGGGAACCUACCCCUUGGUACGGGAUAGCUCCGGGAAACUGGAGAUAAUACCGUAUGUGUCCUGAGGGACAAAGAUUCAUCGCCAAGGGAUGGGCCCGCGUCGGAUUAGCUAGUUGGUGGGGUAACGGCCUACCAAGGCGACGAUCCGUAGCUGGUCUAAGAGGAUGAUCAGCCACAUUGGGACUGAGACACGGCCCAAACUCCUACGGGAAGCAGCAGUGGGGAAUAUUGGACAAUGGGCGCAAGCCUGAUCCAGCCAUGCCGCGUGAGUGAUGAAGGCCCUAGGGUUGUAAAGCUCUUUCACCGGUGACGAUAAUGACGGUAACCGGAGAAGAAGCCCCGGCUAACUUCGUG
RNAcentral lists this ribosomal RNA (435 nucleotides) under uncultured bacterium. Its description in RNAcentral is "partial 16S ribosomal RNA". It matches the Rfam family "Bacterial small subunit ribosomal RNA", at positions 29 to 507 of the family's 1533-position model. The record is from RNAcentral.